Anolis carolinensis (green anole) is the source of this 2243-nucleotide long non-coding RNA. RefSeq lists it as uncharacterized. Lineage: Eukaryota; Metazoa; Chordata; Lepidosauria; Squamata; Anolidae. The transcript is spliced from 3 exons. The record is from RefSeq and is a predicted model, not a curated record.
AGGUAUGCUGCAAUAAUACCAUAGAUUAACUCAGUAUGCAGUGAUGUUUGCUAGUUUUUUUUCCCUCCAGAUCAGAAAUGUUAAAACUGUGUUGGUGGAAUCUGUGAGCUCUACAGAGAUGUCACAUCAGGAGCUUGGAAAACAUUAGAUGUUCAACUCCUUCUGCCUCUCUCCAGGAAAAAGCAAGAGACAAGUCUGCAUACAAAAUUCAUGUCAUCCAGGAGCCUUCAAAGUGUGCAGUUUGACGGUCUUUGCAAAAAGCAGGUAUUCCUGGAGUGAAUGUUUGAAUUAUCUCUGGGUAUGUGUUAAAUUCUGGAAGAAAUCAUUCUCAUCCAAAUGGGAUUUGUCAGACAAUGGCAACAAUUUCAAAGGUAGAUUAUCGUUUCUUCUUUCAUUGUAAAAAUUGAGUCAAUUCCUUAACAAGCAAGAUUGUAAUAGAGCACUUGUUUCCCACACCCAUCUCAAGUAAAUACAAAUCUAUUUCAUGGAUGAAUUUACUUCACAGCAGUCCCUAAAAAUCUUCCUUCAUUCUCUGGAAUGUUUUUAAUUUCCUAAUUUAUGACACACUAAAAAUCCUGUUUACUUUGUACUGGGGGAACAAUUUCAUCUGUUCAGACACUUAACACCAUUAAUUAAGCAAUAAUGCAUAUAGCCAUGAACAUUAGAAUCAAAUAAACACAACUUCCUGUUUUAAUUAUCUGACAAGAAGAGUAUUUUGCAGGCAAAAUAUAAAACUACUUGUCAAUUGGCUUCAUUGUUGUUACCAAUUAGGCCUAGUGAUAGAAUUAAACAUAGACAUCACAUAUAGCACCCAAAAUCAAACAAAACAGUGAGAACACUUAGGGUAUGCUGUGAUUGGAAAGAUACCCACUUGAAUCAAAGGGAUUUAUUUUAAAAUUAUUUGUUACUAACAGAGACUACAUUUCUGUGCUGGUGGGAUUGCAUGCUCCUGUGAGACAAGAGAUCAUGCUAACAGUUGUUUCCCAAGUAAGCUUUUGCUGAGAAGCCACACUAAACACCUACUGAGUAAUAGCAGUUGUAGGGAGCGUGACAUUGGCAGAGGAUCUCUCAGAGACAACAGAACUGACACCAUAGCUAGAAUGAAUUAGUACUUCGUAAAAGGAGACAGAGUAACAACUUUUAUUAAGAAAAUCCUAUGAUGGGAGAAUCCAAAAUGAUAUACAAGAAAGAGAUUCAGGUCAGAAUACACUCAGUGAAUUACCGUGGAAUCUCAGAGGAGAAGCAUAAAUAGUACUGUAGAGUCAAGCUGAAAUUGACGUUCACCGAUUGACUUGCUCACAGCUGACAAGAAAGUACAAAGCUGCACAAGCAUAUUAUUUUAACUGUGAAUUUUUAAUAGUAUUGAUAUUUAGUUCUGUUUUAAUGUUUGUAUAUUUGUAUAUCUUAAAUUGUAUUGAAAUUAUUUUUAAUGUAAGCUGCUUUGAGUCUCCUUUGUGGACAGAAAAAGCAGGGUAUAAAGGAGGAGAAGGAGAGCAGCAGCAACAACAAUAACAGUGUGAGAAACAUCUAUCAGGGAAAGUUAAACACAAAAAAAAGAAAUGGAAUGAAUAAACUGCAAACUGCAAUACUUGAGGAGAACAACUUUAUUGAUCAGAACUGGGAUAUUUUGAGUCAGAAAUGAAAAUUUAAGAAGAAAUAUCAUUCAGGAGUUAGUGAAGUAAUCAAUUUAACUUAACUGUAUUCUCCAUUUUACAUCAUUUGCAAAAUCAUGAAAUCCAUGGGGUCACUAUACGUUGACAUGACAGGUGACUUCAAGGCAUAUAAACACUCAUACAUACAGGAAGGAUGUCUUCACUCAGUGUGGUGGUGGGGAAAUAUCCAUAUUUCACACCUUUGCUCAUUCUCUGUUGUUUAGUGACAAUGCGAUGAGUAUUAGGAAGAGAAUGUGUUUUGUACCACAGGUCAGGCAAAUCUAUAGUUUUCUUAAAACAAGAGAAAGCAACUAUAUGUUUCCUUACAAGAAAAAUGAUUAUUUACUUUUAAAGAAACAGUAAUUGCUAGUAAUACCUAGUUAUGCAGGAAUUGGGAUAUUAAAUGUACUCACAACUUGCAGGCGUGUGGCAUGGGCCCUGGAUCUGGCAUGCUUAUCCCCGCCCCCCAAACUUUAAAAAAUAACUGAUCUCUGUAAAUUCAACUCCUCUCUAAAUGUAUGUAUAUGUUUGAAAAAUUGUGGAAGUCAACCGAAAAGAAAUAUUUGAUCCUAUUAAAAAUAUGACAUGCAA